This is a long non-coding RNA of Tarenaya hassleriana, 309 nucleotides long. RefSeq lists it as uncharacterized. The transcript has 2 exons. The record is from RefSeq and is a predicted model, not a curated record. NCBI's taxonomy places the organism in Eukaryota, Viridiplantae, Streptophyta, Magnoliopsida, Brassicales, Cleomaceae.
GUGAGCACAUAGCGAACUAUUCUUUCGCCUUUUACUAAAGAAUACCGUGUGCUCGUCGCAUCAAGCGGCAUACGCCUAUUUUUGGAGGGGUCGCUCUAUGAGCUACCCCAACCAAUCCAUAAGCUAAGUUUAACUUCCGGCAUUCGAGAAUUUCUUGAAAGAGAGGGCUUCAUCAGAAAAUCAAGAAACCCUACGGUUAAUCGGAUUUGAUUCUUUCCACGGUGUAAUGCAUAAUUUCCUAAACAAUAUGUUUACAAAAAAUAACAGUGUAACUCCAAUAAGUUUGAAAAUGACAUGUCGGAAUGUUUA